RNAcentral lists this unclassified non-coding RNA (387 nucleotides) under soil metagenome. RNAcentral's name for it is "partial contains 5.8S ribosomal RNA, internal transcribed spacer 2, and large subunit ribosomal RNA". The stretch from base 1 to 120 matches the Rfam family "5.8S ribosomal RNA", at positions 35 to 154 of the family's 154-position model. The record is from RNAcentral.
GAUGAAGAACGCAGCGAAAUGCGAUAAGUAAUGUGAAUUGCAGAAUUCAGUGAACCAUCGAAUCUUUGAACGCACCUUGCACCCUUUGGUAUUCCGAAGGGUAUGCUCGUUUGAGUGUCAUUGUACUCUCACACUUCUAAUUCCUUUCGGGAUUGGGAGCGGUGGACUUGGGUGUUGCUGCUUUAGUUGUGGCUCACCUCAAAUAAGUUAGUGCAACUCUUGGUUGGACAUAGUACGGCGUGAUAAGUGUCUUCGCCGGCGCCUCUGUAAGGAGGGUGGCCGAUCGGGAGCUCUGUGCUUCAAACCGUCUUCGGACAAUCUUUGACAACUUGACCUCAAAUCGAGUAGGACUACCCGCUGAACUUAAGCAUAUCAAUAAGCGGAGGA